AGUGAACGCUGGCGGUAGGCCUAACACAUGCAAGUCGAACGGCAGCACAGUAAGAGCUUGCUCUUACGGGUGGCGAGUGGCGGACGGGUGAGGAAUACAUCGGAAUCUACUUUUUCGUAGGGGAUAACGUAGGGAAACUUACGCUAAUACCGCAUACGACCUACGGGUGAAAGCAGGGGAUCUUCGGACCUUGCGCGAUUGAAUGAGCCGAUGUCGGAUUAGCUAGUUGGCGGGGUAAAGGCCCACCAAGGCGACGAUCCGUAGCUGGUCUGAGAGGAUGAUCAGCCACACUGGAACUGAGACACGGUCCAGACUCCUACGGGAGGCAGCAGUGGGGAAGAUUGGACAAUGGGCGCAAGCCUGAUCCAGCCAUACCGCGUGGGUGAAGAAGGCCUUCGGGUUGUAAAGCCCUUUUGUUGGGAAAGAAAAGCAGCAGGUUAAUACCCCGCUGUUCUGACGGUACCCAAAGAAGAAGCACCGGCUAACUUCGUG
This 492-nucleotide ribosomal RNA is filed under the name uncultured bacterium. RNAcentral's name for it is "partial 16S ribosomal RNA". It matches the Rfam family "Bacterial small subunit ribosomal RNA", at positions 29 to 507 of the family's 1533-position model. The record is from RNAcentral.